CCUACGGGUGGCAGCAGUGGGGAAUAUUGCGCAAUGGGCGAAAGCCUGACGCAGCGACGCCGCGUGAGGGAUGAAGGUCUUCGGAUCGUAAACCUCUGUCAGCAGGGAAGAACGGUCACUGUGCUAAUCAGCAGUGAAUUGACGGUACCUGCAAAGGAGGCCCCGGCUAACUCCGUGCCAGCAGCCGCGGUAAUACGGAGGGUGCGCGCGUUAAUCGGAAUUACUGGGCGUAAAGCGCUCGUAGGCGGUAUGUUAAGUCAAGGGGGAAAUCCCCGCGCUCAACGUGGGAACUGCCUUUGAAACUGGCAAACUGGAGGGUGGGAGAGGAUAGUGGAAUUCCAGGUGUAGGAGUGAAAUCCGUAGAUAUCUGGAGGAACAUCAGUGGCGAAGGCGACUAUCUGGCACAUAACUGACGCUGAGGAGCGAAAGCGUGGGUAGCAAACAGGAUUAGAUACCCUAGUAGUC
RNAcentral lists this ribosomal RNA (465 nucleotides) under uncultured bacterium. RNAcentral describes it as "partial 16S ribosomal RNA". It matches the Rfam family "Bacterial small subunit ribosomal RNA", at positions 338 to 795 of the family's 1533-position model. The record is from RNAcentral.